Molecule: transfer RNA, 72 nt
Filed under: Streptomyces phage Sham
Lineage: Duplodnaviria; Heunggongvirae; Uroviricota; Caudoviricetes; Stanwilliamsviridae
Description: tRNA-Pro
Rfam family: tRNA
About the family: Transfer RNA (tRNA) molecules are approximately 80 nucleotides in length. Their secondary structure includes four short double-helical elements and three loops (D, anti-codon, and T loops).
Source: RNAcentral
AUCUGCUUGGUGUAAUGGUAGCACAAGGGUCUCCAAAGCCUUUAGCGUGGGUUCGAUUCCUACAGCAGGUGC